RNAcentral lists this ribosomal RNA (497 nucleotides) under uncultured bacterium. RNAcentral describes it as "partial 16S ribosomal RNA". It matches the Rfam family "Bacterial small subunit ribosomal RNA", at positions 28 to 507 of the family's 1533-position model. The record is from RNAcentral.
GACGAACGCUGGCGGCGUGCCUAAUACAUGCAAGUUGAGCGAUGAAGAUUGGUGCUUGCCCCAAUUUGAAGAGCAGCGAACGGGUGAGUAACGCGUGGGGAAUCUGCCUUUGAGCGGGGGACAACAUUUGGAAACGAAUGCUAAUACCGCAUAACAACUUUAAACAUAAGUUUUAAGUUUGAAAGAUGCAAUUGCAUCACUCAAAGAUGAUCCCGCGUUGUAUUAGCUAGUUGGUGAGGUAAAGGCUCACCAAGGCGAUGAUACAUAGCCGACCUGAGAGGGUGAUCGGCCACAUUGGGACUGAGACACAGCCCAAACUCCUACGGGAGGCAGCAGUAGGGAAGCUUCGGCAAUGGACGAAAGUCUGACCGAGCAACGCCGCGUGAGUGAAGAAGGGUUUCGGAUCGUAAAACUCUGUUGGUAGAGAAGAACGUUGGUGAGAGUGGAAAGCUCAUCAAGUGACGGUAACUACCCAGAAAGGGACGGCUAACUACGUG